UACGGAGGAUGCGAGCGUUAUCCGGAUUUAUUGGGUUUAAAGGGUGCGUAGGCGGACUGUCAAGUCAGCGGUAAAAUUGAGAGGCUCAACCUCUUCCCGCCGUUGAAACUGGUGGUCUUGAGUGGAUGAGAAGUACGCGGAAUGCGUGGUGUAGCGGUGAAAUGCAUAGAUAUCACGCAGAACUCCGAUUGCGAAGGCAGCGUACCGGCAUCCAACUGACGCUGAGCCACGAAAGCGUGGGGAUCAAACAGG
This 252-nucleotide ribosomal RNA is filed under the name uncultured bacterium. Its description in RNAcentral is "partial 16S ribosomal RNA". It matches the Rfam family "Bacterial small subunit ribosomal RNA", at positions 524 to 776 of the family's 1533-position model. The record is from RNAcentral.